AAUGCAAUGCUACGACGCUUUGUAAAGUUCCAUUAACCGUUUAUGGCCUAUCCCAAUGCCAACUUUUACUUAAUCCUAUUUUAGAGUCAAUUCCUCUAUCAUAAUUUUGCUUCUCUUAUCCUUUUACAUUUUGAAAACAUGAAAUUAUUGUAGGGCCUUUAACUAAGCCUUAGCCCUCCAAAGAUAUAUUUGAUUUAUAUAUGACCUAAAUUCUUUUCAAAUAUUUGAAAGAGAUAGGCAAAUAAUUCAUUUAGGACCUUGUCUUUGAAAUGCAUUGGAAUUUAAAUCACAAAUCAAAGUGAUUGUGAGUCCAAGUAGUAUUUGAGUUGGCUUCCUAGUGACGAUGAUUUGAAGGCCCUAAUGAAUAAAUCCAAUGAGAAGUCUGGUGGAGGAUCUAGAAAAGGAAAGAAUAAAGGCCGCAACAUGAAAAUGUUACAUCAUAUGCAUAAAUCUUCCAGGUAUGUACAUCAUGCACGAAAAUAAUUAAUUUAUGUAUGUUUUUAUACUUUCACUACAACAAAACAAGGUUUAACCGACGCUUUGGUGGGAUCAUUUGCCAGCGCCAGGUAAAACCGGGCGAAGCAACCAGAAUACGUGGCACAAUCACUCUUGGUCUCCCUCUCUCAGGGUUUAUAUAGGUAGAGAAAAGGAGCAAAGAAUUAGGCAGCCCCUGUUGCCGGAGAAAGAGAUGGCAUAGGAGAUCUCUCUUCUCAUCAGAUCUGCUGAGAUGGGAAUGAGAUCUCUCUUCUCUUCUUUGAAGCUCAUCUAGUAAGCUCAAAUUUGGGACAAGUGAGAGACAGUGGGUUGAAGCCCAAGUUGAAAAUGCUAAGCAGCAGGCUAUUCUUGCGGCACUUAAAUCUCAAGUAUCAUCUGAUGAAGCUCACAUUCAUCAUGAUCUUCAUUCUCUUCGGUGCUUCUUUUCACUGGAUGAUAUUCCUAGCAAGCACUCUGUGGACAUAAUAUGUCCGAGUAUUCUAGCUGAUGAUCAUCACAGAUUUAUCAUUCUCCAAAUACAUGUACAUCGAUACAGGAGAUUUUUUCCGAGUAGCUUGAGGAAAGGAGACUUAUAUCUAGAGGCAACUGCAAAUUUCUGGUGCUUAUCAUCCAAUGUUCAUCAUCAGCUUUCUCACUUUCAAUUUUUCGUCUCCAUUGAUAAAUCUGUGAACUCUUGUUCCUCCUCUUAGAUGGGCAGAAGUCUUAAACUUCUUUUUUAUUAUAUAUUCAUAGGCAAUAAACUUUUGGAAUUGAUAGUUUCUGAUACCUGGGGAUGUACUUGGUUUUGCUAUUAGAUACAUUUCAUUGGUAUUAGUAGAUUUACAUGGUAUUUUUGCAUGGUAUGCACUUGUGUUUUUUCAAAGACUAAAAUUAAUAUUGAGAAUAUCUUCGAGUGUGUAUAAUCAAAAGUAUUCAAGCCACUGGUGGUGGUGAAUACAAGAAAUUCAAACCCUUUCUUGAAAUAUGUGGUAAUACUCACGGUUUCUCUUGUACAGUCUCCAUGAAUCUUUAUGGUGUCUGAUGGCCACAUCCCACCAAUUAUGCCAUUCAAUGUUGUAAUUUUUCUCAUUAACCAUCUACUUUUUCCAAACACACAAACUCUUUUUAUUUCUCUUUUUUUAUUAUCAAUUUCUUGGGGUUUUGGAUAUGAAUGUUUU
Long non-coding RNA from Magnolia sinica, 1652 nucleotides. RefSeq lists it as uncharacterized. NCBI's taxonomy places the organism in Eukaryota, Viridiplantae, Streptophyta, Magnoliopsida, Magnoliales, Magnoliaceae. The transcript has 5 exons. The record is from RefSeq and is a predicted model, not a curated record.